Arabidopsis lyrata subsp. lyrata is the source of this 592-nucleotide long non-coding RNA. RefSeq lists it as uncharacterized. Lineage: Eukaryota; Viridiplantae; Streptophyta; Magnoliopsida; Brassicales; Brassicaceae. The record is from RefSeq and is a predicted model, not a curated record. The transcript is spliced from 2 exons.
GUCAUUUUCUGGUUGGUGGAAGGAUUAGCGAAAAAACUGCCUAUGUUUCUCUCUCGUCAUCCGUCUCUCUCUCUUUCUCGUUUUCUCCGACUGCUAUUUCUAUUUGUCUCAAAUCGGAAGCAAUGCAUACUCGUGAAUGUUUCUGAUUAAGUUUCUCUCGAAUAUUGAAAUGAAAGUAUGCAAUUGUGUGUAUCAGACUAUCAGUAACGAACAUAUCGAUAGAUGUUUUUCAUGUGCCUCAUAGAGUUGAAGUAACUUUAAGGCUUGUAGUGUAUCCAUAGAUCCUUCUGAGAUGAAUUCUGUUUCCAGCUUCCAUGGCUAGAAAAAUCUACUUGAGAGCCGGUCUUGGAGUUGGUGCUUUCCCGCAUUAUUUGCUAUGGGAUGAUGAUCUUUAGUCUAUUUCAUCUGUGGAAAAUGAGGUAACAAGUAGAUUAAGAGAAACUAAAGUGGCAAUUUAGAACACCCGAAAUUGGAUUGAAGUUAUCUCAGAGUUAGUUAACUUCUCCAGCUUUCUUUGACUAUUAUUCUAUGAACUCUCUGCUUUUAAAAUGAAUGAAUCAGUUAACUUUGAGUUAAUGUUACCUUUUUGUUA